This 541-nucleotide ribosomal RNA is filed under the name uncultured bacterium. Its description in RNAcentral is "bacterial SSU rRNA". It matches the Rfam family "Bacterial small subunit ribosomal RNA", at positions 114 to 686 of the family's 1533-position model. The record is from RNAcentral.
CGCGUGGGGAACGUGCCCCCUUGGUACGGAAUAGCCCCCGGGAAACUGGGGAGUAAUACCGUAUGUGGUCGAGAGACGAAAGAUUUAUCGCCAAGGGAUCGGCCCGCGUUGGAUUAGGUAGUUGGUGGGGUAAUGGCCUACCAAGCCGACGAUCCAUAGCUGGUUUGAGAGGAUGAUCAGCCACACUGGGACUGAGACACGGCCCAGACUCCUACGGGAGGCAGCAGUGGGGAAUCUUAGACAAUGGGCGCAAGCCUGAUCUAGCCAUGCCGCGUGAGCGAUGAAGGCCUUAGGGUUGUAAAGCUCUUUCGUGGGGGAAGAUAAUGACUGUACCCCAAGAAGAAGCCCCGGCUAACUCCGUGCCAGCAGCCGCGGUAAUACGGAGGGGGCUAGCGUUGUUCGGAAUUACUGGGCGUAAAGCGCACGUAGGCGGACUGGAAAGUCAGAGGUGAAAUCCCAGGGCUCAACCUUGGAACUGCCUUUGAAACUCCCGGUCUUGAGGUCGAGAGAGGUGAGUGGAAUUCCGAGUGUAGAGGUGAAA